UGUACUGCAUAUGUGUGGGAUCUAGGUUGUACAGUCCUUAUGGGAAUCUAACUAAUGCCUGAUGAUCUGAGGUGGAACAGUUUCAUCCCAAAAUCAUCCCCUCU
Sapajus apella (tufted capuchin) is the source of this 104-nucleotide long non-coding RNA. RefSeq lists it as uncharacterized. The transcript has 3 exons. The record is from RefSeq and is a predicted model, not a curated record. NCBI's taxonomy places the organism in Eukaryota, Metazoa, Chordata, Mammalia, Primates, Cebidae.